This 298-nucleotide long non-coding RNA is filed under the name Brassica napus (rape). RNAcentral's name for it is "long non-coding RNA (BNAP_LNC025094)". The record is from RNAcentral. Lineage: Eukaryota; Viridiplantae; Streptophyta; Magnoliopsida; Brassicales; Brassicaceae.
AUUAUGGAGCAUGUUGUUUCUCUGUUGCCAAACAGAGUAAACCAGCGAUUGAGUCACCAGCAUUUUAAGCACGGGAGGAACUGAAGAAGCCGGUGCACGAGCCCAUUGCAUAAGGUCCGACCAAGAAGUAAACCGUGGAACUCGACAGCGAAUCCUUAGUUGGAUCUCAGACCAAACAGUCAUCGCAUAGGAGCAAGUUAACAUAAGAUGGUCUCUUGAUUCAGGGGCAUUAGAGCAGAUACAACAGCUCAAGGGCACCUGCAUACCCCAGGUGGAGAACCUGUCACGUGUUGGUAGC